AGGGAAUCUUCCGCAAUGGACGAAAGUCUGACGGAGCAACGCCGCGUGAGUGGAGAAGGUCUUCGGAUCGUAAAACUCUGUUGUUAGGGAAGAACAAGUAUCGUUCGAAUAGGGCGGUACCUUGACGGUACCUAACCAGAAAGCCACGGCUAACUACGUGCCAGCAGCCGCGGUAAUACGUAGGUGGCAAGCGUUGUCCGGAAUUAUUGGGCGUAAAGCGCGCGCAGGCGGUCUUUUAAGUCUGAUGUGAAAGCCCACGGCUCAACCGUGGAGGGUCAUUGGAAACUGGAAGACUUGAGUGCAGGAGAGGAGAAUGGAAUUCCUAGUGUAGCGGUGAAAUGCGUAGAGAUUAGGAAGAACACCAGUGGCGAAGGCGAUUCUCUGGACUGUAACUGACGCUGAGGCAUGAAAGCGUGGGUAGCAAAC
Molecule: ribosomal RNA, 426 nt
Filed under: uncultured bacterium
Lineage: Bacteria
Description: bacterial SSU rRNA
Rfam family: Bacterial small subunit ribosomal RNA
Source: RNAcentral